Octodon degus (degu) is the source of this 191-nucleotide small nuclear RNA. Its record names the gene U2. It matches the Rfam family "U2 spliceosomal RNA". From Rfam's summary of the family: U2 is a small nuclear RNA (snRNA) component of the spliceosome (involved in pre-mRNA splicing). The record is from Ensembl. Lineage: Eukaryota; Metazoa; Chordata; Mammalia; Rodentia; Octodontidae.
AUCACUUCUUGGCCUUCUGGCUAUGAUCAAGUGUAGUAUCUGUUCUUAUUAGUUUAACAUCUGCUGCACUCUCUAGCUGAGGACUAUAUAUUAGACAGAUUUUUGGAGCUGGGAGAUGGGAUAGGAGCUUGCUCUGUGCAAUCCAGGCAUCGACCUGGUGUUGCAGUAACCCCAGGAAAGGUACAGCCUCU